Non-coding RNA from Macaca mulatta (Rhesus monkey), 530 nucleotides. The record is from RefSeq and is a predicted model, not a curated record. NCBI's taxonomy places the organism in Eukaryota, Metazoa, Chordata, Mammalia, Primates, Cercopithecidae.
CUGCACCGCUCUUCUCCUGUCCGCUGCCAUCUGAGAGGUGGUCUUCGCCUUCCGCCAUGAUUGUGAGGCCUCCCCAGCUACGUGAAACUGCCUUCUCCCUGUAACCAAUUGCAGAAGUAAAAACUCUUCUUCCCCAGUUCAUCUAUAUCUCAUUAUUGGCCGGCGAGAAUAAGUAGCCUGACCUUCAGUGUGGUCCAGGAACACCUACAUGAAGAUAGGACUGCCCCAAGCGUUUAGAGCCUUCUAUCCAGAACCACACAGGUCAAGCUGAAGCUCCCAAGAAGAUAUGCCACUGCAGGUUGAGAAGUGCUCAGACAGAAGAGGUCAGACACCCUCCAAUCCUGCCGUCCUGGAGCAAUGGGGUGCCCUGCUGGUGACCUUGAUUCUCUCUGCUCCAGCCCAUCUCUAGCCCAUGAGGGUGAUACUCUCUUUUGUCAAAAGGAAGUCUCAGCAGGGGACAGUGGCUUACACCUGUAAUCCCAGCGCUUUGGGAGGCCGAGAUGGGAGGAUCACCAGGAGUUCAAGACCAA